AGUGAACGCUGGCGGUAGGCCUAACACAUGCAAGUCGAAGGGCAGCACAGUAAGAGCUUGCUCUUACGGGUGGCGAGUGGCGGACGGGUGAGGAAUACAUCGGAAUCUACUUUUUCGUGGGGGAUAACGUAGGGAAACUUACGCUAAUACCGCAUACGACCUACGGGUGAAAGCAGGGGAUCUUCGGACCUUGCGCGAUUGGAUGAGCCGAUGUCGGAUUAGCUAGUUGGCGGGGUAAAGGCCCACCAAGGCGACGAUCCGUAGCUGGUCUGAGAGGAUGAUCAGCCACACUGGAACUGAGACACGGUCCAGACUCCUACGGGAGGCAGCAGUGGGGAAUAUUGGACAAUGGGCGCAAGCCUGAUCCAGCCAUACCGCGUGGGUGAAGAAGGCCUUCGGGUUGUAAAGCCCUUUUGUUGGGAAAGAAAAGCAGCAGGUUAAUACCCCGCUGUUCUGACGGUACCCAAAGAAUAAGCACCGGCUAACUUCGUG
Molecule: ribosomal RNA, 492 nt
Filed under: uncultured bacterium
Lineage: Bacteria
Description: partial 16S ribosomal RNA
Rfam family: Bacterial small subunit ribosomal RNA
Source: RNAcentral